GCAUUAGUGGUUCAGUGGUAGAAUUCUUGCCUUCCAUGUGGAGGACUGGGUUUGAUUCCUGGCCGAUGCA
This 70-nucleotide transfer RNA is filed under the name Loxodonta africana (African savanna elephant). It matches the Rfam family "tRNA". From Rfam's summary of the family: Transfer RNA (tRNA) molecules are approximately 80 nucleotides in length. Their secondary structure includes four short double-helical elements and three loops (D, anti-codon, and T loops). Further hydrogen bonds mediate the characteristic L-shaped molecular structure. tRNAs have two regions of fundamental functional importance: the anti-codon, which is responsible for specific mRNA codon recognition, and the 3' end, to which the tRNAs corresponding amino acid is attached (by aminoacyl-tRNA synthetases). tRNAs cope with the degeneracy of the genetic code in two manners: having more than one tRNA (with a specific anti-codon) for a particular amino acid; and 'wobble' base-pairing, i.e. permitting non-standard base-pairing at the 3rd anti-codon position. Lineage: Eukaryota; Metazoa; Chordata; Mammalia; Proboscidea; Elephantidae. The record is from Rfam by way of RNAcentral.